Molecule: ribosomal RNA, 447 nt
Filed under: Salmonella enterica
Lineage: Bacteria; Pseudomonadati; Pseudomonadota; Gammaproteobacteria; Enterobacterales; Enterobacteriaceae
Also listed under: 1 other name
Description: partial 23S ribosomal RNA
Rfam family: Bacterial large subunit ribosomal RNA
Source: RNAcentral
GAAUGCUGACAUAAGUAACGAUAAAGCGGGUGAAAAGCCCGCUCGCCGGAAGACCAAGGGUUCCUGUCCAACGUUAAUCGGGGCAGGGUGAGUCGACCCCUAAGGCGAGGCCGAAAGGCGUAGUCGAUGGGAAACGGGUUAAUAUUCCCGUACUUGGUGUUACUGCGAAGGGGGGACGGAGAAGGCUAUGUUGGCCGGGCGACGGUUGUCCCGGUUUAAGCGUGUAGGUGUGUGUUCCAGGUAAAUCCGGUUCACUUUAACACUGAGGCGUGACGACGAGGCACUACGGUGCUGAAGCAACAAAUGCCCUGCUUCCAGGAAAAGCCUCUAAGCAUCAGGUAACACGAAAUCGUACCCCAAACCGACACAGGUGGUCAGGUAGAGAAUACCAAGGCGCUUGAGAGAACUCGGGUGAAGGAACUAGGCAAAAUGGUGCCGUAACUUCGG